CAGCGCCAUUAAUGAUCCAACUUGGUAGCUCUGGAGGCCUUCCUAUGGUUUCUGUGUACCGUUUGAUCAACUCUGCAGAAUUUCAAAUGAAGAAAGGAUCAAAAUGCAAUAUUUGUAUCUUCAAAGGAAGUCUCUUCGGCUGGAGAAGCAUGAGACCCGAUGUCGUCUUCUAACUCGAACCUGCUUCCACCUCUUACCAU
This is a long non-coding RNA of Phalaenopsis equestris, 200 nucleotides long. RefSeq lists it as uncharacterized. The transcript has 3 exons. Lineage: Eukaryota; Viridiplantae; Streptophyta; Magnoliopsida; Asparagales; Orchidaceae. The record is from RefSeq and is a predicted model, not a curated record.